Molecule: signal recognition particle RNA, 261 nt
Filed under: Lachnospiraceae bacterium
Lineage: Bacteria; Bacillati; Bacillota; Clostridia; Lachnospirales; Lachnospiraceae
Description: signal recognition particle sRNA large type
Rfam family: Bacterial large signal recognition particle RNA
About the family: The signal recognition particle (SRP) is a universally conserved ribonucleoprotein involved in the co-translational targeting of proteins to membranes. Archaeal SRP consists of a 7S RNA and homologues of the eukaryotic SRP19 and SRP54 proteins. In most bacteria, the SRP consists of a 4.5S RNA and the Ffh protein (a homologue of the eukaryotic SRP54 protein).
Source: RNAcentral
CCAUGCAGCCGGGGUGGCAGCGGUACCCUGUACCUGCAAUCCGCUAUAGCAGGGGUGUUGGUCUGUGUCGGGUUUUAUCGUCGGUGCUGGCUGUGGUAAGUGGCGUUGACGUACGGGUCUUGCGCGAUGGAUACCUAUGAACCGUGUCAGGUCGGGAACGAAGCAGCACUAAGUAGGAGCAUUCAUGCGCCGCAAGGGUGCCUGGACUGAGUUAACUGCCAUGGUAACGGCCGGAGGUAGGGCACAAAGCAGACUGCAUGG